Molecule: non-coding RNA, 1106 nt
Organism: Malus domestica (apple)
Lineage: Eukaryota; Viridiplantae; Streptophyta; Magnoliopsida; Rosales; Rosaceae
Source: RefSeq, a predicted model, not a curated record
CCUAUCACUAGCUCAAAAUUUGUUCAUGGAGAGCAUUGCGUUUGCGUCAGCAACAUAUUGUGUGGCGAUAACUAAUCUGAUUCCGGCAAUAACGUUCCUACUGGCGGUAUGCUUUCGGCAGGAGAAGCUUUCGUUAACAAGUAUUCCAGGAAUGGCAAAACUUGCCGGAACAGCGGUUGGGUUGGGAGGGGCAAUGGUCUUCGUAUUCUACAAAGGCAUCACUAUAAAAAUUUGGUCAGUUCAUGGUAACCUCAUAGACACGAAGAACAAAACCACUUCAUCGUCGUCGCACCACCCCACCAAUUAUGCCUUGGGUGCAGUGUUAGCUUUCCUGGGCUGUACGUGCAGUUCACUAUGGCUCAUAAUUCAGGGAAAAAUGACUAGAACAUUCCCGUGCCCCAUGUCGGCCACAGCUUUGACAUCGCUAAUGGCAACAAUUCAAUCUGUGAUUUAUGCCCUUUGCGCGGAGAGGGAUUGGAAGCAAUGGCAUUUGGGCUGGAAUAUUAGACUACUUGGAGUUGUUUAUUCGGGAAUAGUGAUUUCAGGAAUUGCGGUGACCUUGAUGGCAUGGUGUAUAAACAUGCGAGGGCCAUUGUAUGCAGCGAGUUUCUUUCCUGUCCUACUUGUACUGGUUGCCAUACUUGCCUCAUUGUUGCUGGAAGAGAACUUGUACCUGGGAAGCUUACUAGGAGCAGUGUUCAUCAUAGGUGGGUUAUACCUAUAUUUGUGGGGUAAGAGCAUCGAAAUAAAGAGGAUGAAUCGGGUAGAACCACUCGAAACCCCCCGACCUUCAGAAUUUCAGUCUAUUGAAAUCGUUACAACAUCAACAUCUGCUCCGGCCAUUACCACCGGGAGUAAUGACAACAACAUCACAAGUAAUAGCAGCAGAGGUUAAAAGUACCUACUUCAACACUCCUCAACUACUUAUGGAUUCAUGUAUUCUGUUUGGUAAAUUUGGAAACUAAACCUAAGGAUAUAGACUAUAAACCGAAAUUGCAGUGGACGAACGUUCGAGGAAGGCCACAGCUAUUUUUAUUACAUAUCAUGUACUCUUUCCCAAAACUAAAAACAAAACUUUUGAUAAUACACGUGAUGAUUCCUUUUUA